This 88-nucleotide small nucleolar RNA is filed under the name Ochotona princeps (American pika). Its description in RNAcentral is "Small nucleolar RNA SNORA74 (ENSOPRG00000023641.1)". Lineage: Eukaryota; Metazoa; Chordata; Mammalia; Lagomorpha; Ochotonidae. The record is from RNAcentral.
UCCAGCUGUAGGCAACAGCCUAGGUUGCAUUAAACCUAGGCACAUGUUACACUGCUGGGAGAAAAGCAGCUAAUAGCUGAUGGACAAC